UUAAGUCUGAUGUGAAAACCUUCGGCUUAACCGGAGUAGUGCAUUGGAAACUGGUUGACUUGAGUGCAGAAGAGUGAAGUGGAAUUCCAUGUGUAGCGGUGAAAUGCGUAGAUAUAUGGAGGAACACCAGUGGCGAAAGCGGCUCUCUGGUCUGUAACUGACGCUGAGGUUCGAAAGCGUGGGUAGCAA
This 189-nucleotide ribosomal RNA is filed under the name uncultured bacterium. RNAcentral describes it as "partial 16S ribosomal RNA". It matches the Rfam family "Bacterial small subunit ribosomal RNA", at positions 583 to 771 of the family's 1533-position model. The record is from RNAcentral.